This 384-nucleotide ribosomal RNA is filed under the name uncultured eukaryote. RNAcentral describes it as "partial 18S ribosomal RNA". It matches the Rfam family "Eukaryotic small subunit ribosomal RNA", at positions 591 to 976 of the family's 1831-position model. The record is from RNAcentral.
CCAAUAGCGUAUAUUAAAGUUGUUGCAGUUAAAAAGCUCGUAGUUGGAUUUCUGGUAGGAGUGACCGUUCCGAACUUGAUUGUUCGUGUAUUGUGUUUUCUCCAGCCAUCCUUGUGGAGAACUUUUCUUGCAUUAAUUUGUAGGGAUUGGGACCCGCAUCGUUUACUGUGAAAAAAUUAGAGUGUUUAAAGCAGGCAAUCGCUUGAAUACAUUAGCAUGGAAUAAUAAGAUAGGACUUUGGUACUAUUUUGUUGGUUUGCAUACCAAAUUAAUGAUCAACAGGAACAGUUUGAGGAUAUUCGUAUGAACAUGUCAGAGGUGAAAUUCUUGGAUUUUGAUCAGACGAACUACUGCGAAAGCAUUUAGCAAGGACGUUUUCAUUAA